Molecule: long non-coding RNA, 2082 nt
Filed under: Fukomys damarensis (Damara mole-rat)
Lineage: Eukaryota; Metazoa; Chordata; Mammalia; Rodentia; Bathyergidae
Description: lncRNA (ENSFDAG00000031893.1)
Source: RNAcentral
GGCACAUGCACGGCCUUGUGACUGCUGAGUCCAGGAGCUGUCUGGAAAGGCACGUGAAGCACCAACUCCAGAUCGAGUGUGACAGCAGCAGACUCCCCCUGGACAUUCAUCCAAACCACCAGUGCAGCACAGGCACAGUACCAGGUGCUAAACUAGGCCCAGCAGCCACAAACUGCCUCUCCAGGCUCAGGGUCUCAUUGAAGUAAGAAAGCCACGCCCCACUGUUGGGCCCCUCCCACAACCGGAAGUGCUAAUCACCAGGCCUGGUGGUUGAGACUUCUGAGUAGGGAGGUAUCCAAGGACUUCCCCGCAACACAGACUCCAACCUGGGGUCCGACCACCCAGGCCCAGGUGAAUCAUGGCAAAGGGGCAGUUUCUUUGGGGAGAACAUGACACAAAGUUAGUCUGCAAAGAAGUGGUUCACCUGUUGAAAAGGAAUUAAGACCUUUGGACAGAGGGAACAGGUUCAAGUUCCUGAGUUUUCAAUAUCCUUUUAACAACCAGAAUUAACUACACAGAUGUAUUCCAUGUUCUUUACCUGCCUAUCUAGACUGGGAAGUCAAAAUUCCAACCUAUUCUAUAUGAUACCAUGUCACAUCUGCUGGGAAAGGAGCACCUGGGACUCAACUAGUCUUUGAUGAGGAUAGUUUCAAUAUAUGUGCUCUAACACUUACUUUAAAAAAAAGUUAAAUGAAUAUAAUGUCAAAAUACAAAUGCUAGCUGCGUGGGGGUGGAGGGUUCUGAGUCUUUUCUCUUUCAUUCGGCAGGUAUCUGUACUCUACAUAAAGCACCACUAUAUCCUGAGAGGGAGAGAAGCUGUCUCAAGUUACAACUAGUGUGAUCUGUAUAAUGCUGCUGAUCAGAUUAAAUGCAGGCUCUACCACACAAGCCCACCCACAGCCGCAUAUUCUCCAGGAAUCCUCAGGACUGCCCCUCUGAGCUGCCUGGCCGAGCAGGCAGAGACCCCGGCAAGUGGCAGCCUCACCCAGGGGCCAGCAAGCCUGAGUGCACAGCAAGCUGGGUGAAUGCGUCCAGAAGACUCCCGGAGCCAAACACCCCGUCACCUGAGGGUAACACCUACUCUUUCGCUAACCUUUAUUCCUAUGCCUCCCCGUUCCAGAAUACUUCGCUCCGGAAUCGGAGAGCUCCAAGUACCCAGAUGAUCCUGACCCUGCAGGUCUGGGUCUGGCUGUGGUGCUGGACCCAGGCACAGGCUGCCUGCUGAGACCCCGCCUCACACCCUCAGCCUCCUGACAACUACACUACCACUGAUGCCUCAUUUCCCAUUUCCACUCUGAAAAGUUUGCUGCUUUACUUUGAUUGAGCAAAGCUGUCAUCAUUGGGUCCCUCAACAGAAUCCGAUUAGUCGUAUCACCCACCUAUUUAGUUCCCUUCUCUUCCAGGGGGAGAAGAAUGCCUAGGCCCUCAGAGAAGCCCUCAGCUACACUUCUGAAACCAGCCCAGGGAAUUCAGCUGAGAAUACAAACAUCUGCUUCAGGCCUUGCCCCCUACUGCGUACAAAUGAGUCAUGUUCCUUUUCAAGAUUUCAUUUUCUUUUUAUGACGACAAGGGAAAAAAACGUGCAGGGAAGACAAUGUUUUCUUGGUUACAAAAGCUGUCUUUGGUAAAGGGGGAUCUCAAAAGAUUUCUGUUUUGCCCCAUUGGAACGUUUUCUUGCAUUCUGUUGGUUAAGCAUUCACUUGGUCUCUAUACAGUCUUUUAAAGUUUUGACAGAAUAAACUUGAAGGAAAAGGAAGUGCUGAAAAAAUCUCCACCUCUCAGAAAAGUCAAUGAAUUCUACAAAAGUAAACAGCGUUUGAAAGAAGACAGCCCGCCCGGCGUCAGGUCCGUGGUGGAAGCCCAGUGCUUCCACCAGCAGAGAGGCUGCCUUCCCUGGGUCCCUGGGCACCUCCUGCUGAGCAGUGUCCCGCAGCUGAGUGAGUUUUAGAAUCUGGCAUCGAACGUCCUUGGCUUUUCAUCCAAGCAAAGAAAACAGUGAUAAUGGAUAUCUUCCAGCUGCAUACCUUCAUGACACUCAAUAGGUUUUAUUUGGAUUAAGAAAUGCAACUGCUUUUAGAAUCC